AGGAGUUGGGAUUUCCCAACAGCUGAAUCUCCGAUCAAUACAACCUUAAAUACAUAAUCAAUCUUCUGAUUAAAAUCUACAUAAUUGGUCAUCUUCAAAUCAAAUCAAAUCCUGCUAGUUUUUCUCUCUGCUCUACAACAUAUAUAUAUAUAUAAUACAAUGUGAAAAUCUACAGAGAAAACUUGUUGAGAUCUAUGAUCUUGUCAUAAAAUGAACAAAAAGCACAGGCUGCAACAUGGGUGUUGGAAAUAAAAGCUUGAAAAA
RNAcentral lists this unclassified non-coding RNA (264 nucleotides) under Hevea brasiliensis (rubber tree). Lineage: Eukaryota; Viridiplantae; Streptophyta; Magnoliopsida; Malpighiales; Euphorbiaceae. The record is from RNAcentral.